Molecule: long non-coding RNA, 1051 nt
Filed under: Sinocyclocheilus grahami
Lineage: Eukaryota; Metazoa; Chordata; Actinopteri; Cypriniformes; Cyprinidae
Description: lncRNA (ENSSGRG00000024613.1)
Source: RNAcentral
AGCCUGCAGUGGUCACGUGGUACAAGUCGUAGCUCUCAGAAAACUCCCAGUUCAUGAGUUGUCAUUAGGAGUUCUACGAGGACGUGAACGCUUUUUAGAAGUUGGAAUCUCGUAAUUACGGGAAUUCCGAUAUGGCGUGAACGCAGCAUUAGUUAAUCACUUGAUGGGUGUUUAUAUUCGCUUAACCAAAAUCAAAACAAGCAAACUACACAGUGCAACAGACGAGUGGGAAAUCAAAGACUGGAAUGCUGGGAGAACGCUGGGGAAACUGACAAAGGGGUGAGCUCUGGAAAGGAGGACGGAUACUUCCUGUUCCUGCUGGAGUGACCUGCAGGUCUGAGGAGGAGUGAGGGAGAGGAAGGCAGAGAAAGCGAUACCCUGUGAAACCUGCUGGUGUAAACUUACCUCUGAUUGGGACUCACUGAUGUAAUGGACAAACAAGCACAAAAUGUGUCGAUACCCACAUCAAAUCUCCCAGGUUUCUUUUACAGUGAUUUGCGUACAGCUUCACCCUUGGCCAGAGUGCAGUUGUGAAACUGGAAGUGACAGUGCCAGAAGCUCUAGUGGUGUUGGUUGUGUUCUGGAAGAGCUGAGGGACACAACGGCUACCAUGCACAUCUGCAUCCUGUAUGUGGCUGAGGGGGGUGAGUUAACACACAGAGACAGCCAGAACCCUUAACUGCAGUGACGGUCAGUGCCAUGGGACAAUGUGCGUGCAGGGUGAAUCCUGGGUCAGGAACUGUUUCCUGCUCUGGGUCUCACUCUCGUCUCUCAGACAGCUAGGCACUCCAUGCACAACUGGCUAUUUGCUUACGUGCCAACCUUGACAACAUAUAGGCCCUGCGUGACACUUUUGUGAGUUUGGGUGCAUAUUUAGAAAAAAAGAUCAGAUUUGUGUCAGUUUUCUUUUCAUGCUGUUCACUUUCAGGGUUUGGAUCCUCCUUAGCCAGCAGAAAUUCAUCUAGAAUUUGUUAAAUUGUGGUUUAAUUAAGCAUCAGACCCCAUCACUUUGUUAUAACUCAGCAAACCCCCUCCUUUUUCCAUUCACAGC